UUAAUUCAGUACACAACUACAAGGAAUUUAAAGCAAAUUCGCUAUUUAUCUAGAUUAAAACAAACAUAGAUACUGCUUUUCUUAAUGAUAAAUGAAUUCAUUAUAAAACAACUGUGAACAGUUCAGGGUUUGGGCAGCUGUGAUCCGUGCAAACCUUUGAUUUUCGAACUCUUAUCGAGCGUUCUUUCUCUCACAGGAACUGAAGACAACAUUUUAUUCUAUUGAUCAGUUCUUGUUGCAAACGUUCUCAUUCGCAUAAGUAUGUUGAACAGCUCUUAUCUGAUCACUGGAGUUUUAUGUGAACCCUCUCUGAAAUUUGUUUUGAUUCAGUAAUUCGGAAAUAGAGAUUCCAAGCCUAAACCGGGAAUCGCCCCCUUGAUUUCCUGUGGAAUAAGUGCUGAUUUUCGUGGCAUUACAGGGAAAACCUCUGGAAUUUUGGGGAUCGAAAUCACCAUUCACCUCGAUGAAAGUCGGUCGGAUUCCCAAAUCUGGAUUUCCUUUUUGGAAAUUUUGAACAAUAAGGGCGGAAAACAGUGAGGCGAAGUAUUAUGUUAUGCUAUUAGUUCAUCAUUUUCUCUUGUCAGAAUUACAGUCGAGGGUAAUUUUAAAAAUUCUACCCCAAUUAUUCAAACAAUCCAUGUAAUAAUAAUAUGGUUGAAAACCAUUUACUCUUUUACUACUUGAAGGGACUUACACUUUCACAACAUCACAAAAUUACUAUCAUUAUAGUCUGAAUUUUAAUUUCAGGAAUCAAGAAUUGAAAACAGAUACUAUUCCUAAAAAAAUCUUAUAGUACUCAAGAAUAUUCCAGUAGGAAUUUUCAACUUAUCAUAAAUAAUGUGAUGUUUUUUCUAGAAAUUAAAAAGCACUCAAGCCAUUUUAAAAUGUCAAAAUGAGUGCUUGAAACUAGUUAUAAAAAGUAUGAAAAUGGUACUAGUGAUUUUUAUGAUAAUUAAACAAUACAAGCAGCCCAUUUAAAAUACUUGAUUAGAAUACUUAUGAUGUAUGAUAAUGACAUUUUUUCAUUCUCAAAUAGAAUUACCUGUUGAAAUUCUGAUGACAUUUUAUAAUACGCGACAUAUCUCUUUUAAGAUUGAAAUCCAAUGCAAUAAAUGUUUGCUGCUGGUCAGUCGGGUUCUCACUAGAUCCAUCUACAAAUUCAAGCAUUGAAAAGUUGGUUGCU
Nilaparvata lugens (brown planthopper) is the source of this 1183-nucleotide long non-coding RNA. RefSeq lists it as uncharacterized. The transcript is spliced from 3 exons. The record is from RefSeq and is a predicted model, not a curated record. Lineage: Eukaryota; Metazoa; Arthropoda; Insecta; Hemiptera; Delphacidae.